RNAcentral lists this transfer RNA (71 nucleotides) under Enteromius hulstaerti (butterfly barb). Its description in RNAcentral is "tRNA-Gly". It matches the Rfam family "tRNA". From Rfam's summary of the family: Transfer RNA (tRNA) molecules are approximately 80 nucleotides in length. Their secondary structure includes four short double-helical elements and three loops (D, anti-codon, and T loops). The record is from RNAcentral. Lineage: Eukaryota; Metazoa; Chordata; Actinopteri; Cypriniformes; Cyprinidae.
AUCUUUCUAGUAUAAUGUUAAUAUAUGUGACUUCCAAUUGCAUAAUCUUGGUUGGACCCCAAGGAAAGAUA